GAUUGGAGAGGUACUGAGAGGAAAGACAAAAAAUUGGAUGACAUUAUGACUUGGCUUGAAUGGGUUCUCUCGUAUUCGCUUUUGCGAAUUGCUGAGAGUAAUCCUCCAUGUUUGGAUAAUUUUUGGUUCAGUCAGGGUGCUACAUUGUUGCUCAGUUUGAUGCAGAGUUCACAAGAGGAUGUUCAGCAGGAAAGGGCAGCUACAGGGCUUGCUACUUUUGUGGUUAUUGAUGAUGAGAACACAAGCAUUGAUGGGUAACGAGCCGAAGCAGUUAUGCGGGGUGGGGGUGUGCAGCUUCUCCUUAGUCUUGCCGGCUCGUGGUGAGAAGGAUUGCAAGCAGAGUUUGCCAAGGCAAUAGCGAAUUUGUCCGUCAAUGCUAAUGUUGCGAAAGCUGUAGCUGAUGAAGGAGGCAUCACUAUCCUUGCAAAUAAAAAAUGAGUACUUGGACUAUCUUAUGAUGCUUCAUUGUUAAUGCAAAUAAAAAAUCUACACUUUAAGUAGUUUAUUAAUGAGUGAUUGGAGCACUUUUUGCAGCUUGUAUAUUUAUCAUUUUAAUAUUUUAUAUUUUGCAGUACUUUGGCGGAGUUACAACUGAAUUUUCUCAAAAUAAGCUUGAUGAGCUCAAGACUUGUGUAUCAAAGAUGUGGAUGAAUAUAAACAAGUGGAUCAACAAGAAUCGGAAGAUAAUGACCAUUUUAAUUAGGAUGUGUGAUUUUCUUUUUGAGUAGGAAUAGGGAGGUGCUUCUAUUUUUGUGCAUAUGAAUUGGAAGAAAUAGGCCUAGCUGCUCUAUUAUUUUUUUUAUAACCAAUUAGUUGAAUUUUUGGAAUCUUCUAACAUUAUAUUGAUAUCAAUGUGAUUUUGUAGUGAAUGAUAUUGAAUGAAUGAAAAGAUAUUCCAAUUUUAAA
Molecule: long non-coding RNA, 906 nt
Organism: Beta vulgaris subsp. vulgaris (sugar beet)
Lineage: Eukaryota; Viridiplantae; Streptophyta; Magnoliopsida; Caryophyllales; Amaranthaceae
Exons: 2
Source: RefSeq, a predicted model, not a curated record